CUUUAUGCCGGGCGACCGGCGGACGGGUGCGUAACGCGUAUGUAACCUACCUUUGACAGGGGGAUAACAUCGAGAAAUUCGGUAUAAUACCCCAUAACAUCACCGGAGGCAUCUUCGGUGGUUGAAAACUCAGGUGGUCGGAGAUGGACAUGCGUUGUAUUAGCUAGUUGGUGAGGUAACGGCUCACCAAGGCGACGAUACAUAGGGGGACUGAGAGGUCAACCCCCCACAUUGGUACUGAGACACGGACCAAACUCCUACGGAAGGCAGCAG
RNAcentral lists this ribosomal RNA (273 nucleotides) under uncultured bacterium. Its description in RNAcentral is "partial 16S ribosomal RNA". It matches the Rfam family "Bacterial small subunit ribosomal RNA", at positions 80 to 354 of the family's 1533-position model. The record is from RNAcentral.